RNAcentral lists this ribosomal RNA (400 nucleotides) under uncultured bacterium. Its description in RNAcentral is "bacterial SSU rRNA". It matches the Rfam family "Bacterial small subunit ribosomal RNA", at positions 355 to 771 of the family's 1533-position model. The record is from RNAcentral.
UGGGGAAUCUUGCGCAAUGGGCGAAAGCCUGACGCAGCAACGCCGCGUGCGGGAAGACGGCCUUCGGGUUGUAAACCGCUUUCAGCAGGGACGAAAUUGACGGUACCUGCAGAAGAAGCUCCGGCCAACUACGUGCCAGCAGCCGCGGUAAGACGUAGGGGGCGAGCGUUGUCCGGAAUUAUUGGGCGUAAAGGGCUCCUAGGCGGUUCAGUAAGUCGGCUGUGAAAAUCCAAGGCUCAACCUUGGGACUGCAGCCGAUACUGCUGUGACUCGAGUUCGGUAGAGGAGUGUGGAAUUCCUGGUGUAGCGGUGAAAUGCGCAGAUAUCAGGAGGAACACCAACGGCGAAGGCAGCACUCUGGGCCGAUACUGACGCUGAAGAGCGAAAGCGUGGGGAGCAA